This 181-nucleotide unclassified non-coding RNA is filed under the name Vannielia litorea. Its description in RNAcentral is "Oceanicola litoreus caulobacter sRNA CC2171". Lineage: Bacteria; Pseudomonadati; Pseudomonadota; Alphaproteobacteria; Rhodobacterales; Paracoccaceae. The record is from RNAcentral.
CAACAGCUGAAAGGAGGUGAUCCAGUGUCGAGAGCUACAUUGGAGAGAGGUGUCGGGACAACGGCGGAGGUCAGCGCGUAGGGCAGCCCUUGCGCGGAGAUGACCGCAAUUGGCCGAGGGUCUAACCGGACCUCGCCUCCAACACAGUUCGACAGGGCCGUUCCGUCUUCCGGAGCGGCCC